GAUGAACGCUGGCGGCGUGCCUAAUACAUGCAAGUCGAGCGAACAGACUAGGAGCUUGCUCCUCUGACGUUAGCGGCGGACGGGUGAGUAACACGUGGAUAACCUACCUAUAAGACUUGGAUAACUUCGGGAAACCGGAGCUAAUACCGGAUAAUAUAUUGAACCGCAUGGUUCAAUAGUGAAAGACGGUUUUGCUGUCACUUAUAGAUGGAUCCGCGCCGCAUUAGCUAGUUGGUAAGGUAACGGCUUACCAAGGCAACGAUGCGUAGCCGACCUGAUAGGGUGAUGUGCCACAAUGGAACUGAGACACGGUCCAGACUCCUACGGGAUGCAGCAGAAGGGGAUAUGCAGCGAUGGGCGAAAGCCUGACGGAGCAACGCCGCGUGAGUGAUGAAGGUCUUCGGAUCGUAAAACUCUGUUAUUAGGGAAGAACAAAUGUGUAAGUAACUAUGCACGUCUUGACGGUACCUAAUCAGAAAGCCACGGCUAACUACGUG
This 497-nucleotide ribosomal RNA is filed under the name uncultured bacterium. RNAcentral's name for it is "partial 16S ribosomal RNA". It matches the Rfam family "Bacterial small subunit ribosomal RNA", at positions 28 to 507 of the family's 1533-position model. The record is from RNAcentral.